CGAUCCACGGCCCGGAGCACUAUAUAACCUGCGCGCCACAGGCCACAAUGGAGACAUCAAUUGGAGAGCACACUAGGAAAGCACAUAGGCAGUGCUGAUCUAUCCUCAUCGAUCGAUCCAUCCAUCGUGGCCGGCCACAGCCAUUAAGCCGACCCGUCCAUCCGUCGAGCGCCGUCGCCAUCGCGCGUUUAUCGCCGUCCGGUGGAUCGUGGAGGCCGCAUAAGUACCACGCCUCCAGCCGCUAGCCUGCGCCGGUAGCUUGCCAGCCAGGGAGAGAGGGAAGCAAAAACCAUGCCGUCGUCUCCGACCUCGGUCCACUGGCUGAGCCUGGUGGGGAGCGUCUGGCUGCAGACCAUCAACGGCCCCAACUCCGACUUCCCCGUCUACUCGUCGGAGCUCAAGACGGUCAAGGGCAUCUCCCAGGUGCAGCUCAACUUCCUCGCCUUCGCCUCCGACGCCGGGAAGCUCUUCGGCUGGUUCGCCGGCGUCGCCGCGCUCUACGUGCCUCUCUGGCUCGUGGCCGUCGUCGGCGCCGCCUUCGGGCUCGUGGGGUACGGCGUGCAGUUCCUGUUCCUGGACAGCCCCCGGCUCGCCUACUGGCACCUGUUCGCGCUCACCUCCCUCGCCGGCAACGGCAUCUGCUGGAUCAACACCGUCUGCUACCUCCUCUGCAUCAACAACUUCCCCUCCGACAGCCGCGUCGCCGUCAGCCUCGCCACCAGCUACCUCGGCCUCAGCGCCAAGUUCUACACCACCAUGGAAGACACGCUCAAGGGGCUCCGCUACUCCCAGGCCAAGAAGUACCUGCUCCUCAAUGCCGUCGUGCCCAUGCUCGUCACCCUCCUCGUGGUGCCGUCGCUCCGGGUGGUGAAGCCCGGGAGCGGCAAGAGGACCGACUUCGGGUUCUUCGCCAUGUUCGCCAUCACCCUGGCCACCGGAGCGUGCGCCGUCGUGGGCAGCAUCGGGUCCAAGUCCCUCGGGGUCUCGUCCAAGGAGCACCUGAUCAGCCUCUACGUGAUGCUCGCCGUCCCGAUCCUGAUCCCGGUGGCGCUGAGGGUCCGGGAGAGCAUGGCCAAGAUACGGGCGGCGGCCAACAAGAGGGUGCACAGAGUGCACGACCUCGGCGAGAACGGCAUGUGCUGGCUCAACAAGGAGAUUGAGGUGGCCACCAACGUCAAGGAGGAGGAGGAGGAGGUGAAGGAGGCCGGCAGCGUGGAGCAUGGAGGUCAGGAGGAGCUCGGCGGCCUCGGGCUGCUACGGAGGCUCGACUUCUGGAUGUACUUCUUCAGCUACAUGUUCAGUGGCACGCUGGGCCUGGUCUUCCUCAACAACCUGGGCCAGAUCGCCGACUCCCGCGGCCUCGGCGACCCCUCCACUCUGGUCUCCCUGUCGUCCUCCUUCGGAUUCUUCGGCCGCCUCCUUCCCGCCUUCCUGGACUACUACACCGCAAAGAGCGGCUACUCGAUAUCGAGGACGGCGUCGAUGGCGUCGCUGAUGGCGCCGAUGGCCGGGGCCUUCUUCCUGCUGAUGGACCCGAGGGACAUGCUGCUGUACACGAGCACGGCGGUGAUCGGGACGUGCACGGGCGCCAUCACGUCGGUGGCGGUGUCGGCGACGAGCGAGCUGUUCGGCACCAAGAACUUCGGGGUGAACCACAACGUGCUGGUGGCCAACAUCCCCGUCGGCUCGCUCUGCUUCGGCUACCUCGCCGGGUUCCUCUACCAGCGGGAGGCGCGCGGGGGCAACCGCUGCGUCGGCGCCGCCUGCUACCGGGACACCUUCCUGCUCUGGGGCCUCACGUGCGCCGUCGGGACGGCGCUCUGCGCCGCCCUCUACGCGCGCUCCGGCAAGAGGAGCGGCGCUAACAAAGGACCGGAAGUUUCUGGUAGCGCAGGGGUGUAGCUCUAGGCGCCACAUGAUCGAGUGAAUAAAAGAAAAGAUCUCCGUAGCUAGGUGAUGUAACAUCUUUCUUGUUUCUUCCCCUUCUUUUUUCCACUAGGGAAACAUUCUGUUUGUUUUGUUUGGUUAGUUUCUUGACUAAACUUCUCUGUAGAGGAUCUGCGAAGCUCGACGCAUGUAAAAGAACAACAGAGCACAAGCAUAUAUAUAGAACUGGAUGCUGAAAUUCACCGUUUGUUUGAAUAAAGUUACCGGUGAAUUCUCUGUUAAAAUGGAACUUUGGAUGCAAAUUUUACAAGUUUUCUGUGAAUCGUCGAUCCAACCAGAUUUCGAAACGUCGGGGUACAUCUACCGGCAAGUUGUUAUCAGGCAUAAAUAGACAGUUUGUUCGCCUGUCUCGACAUGCCAAAUGGAGUUCAGUUCAGUCUUUAUUUUGUUCUUGCACCUUGUAGGCUUCACGUUUCUGAACUCGGCUAAUGGAUGAUGCAUUUGCCCUUGUAACGGAGGUUCAGAUAUGUAAGGCGCCAACAUAUCUAUCCUACAAUAGUAUAAUAGUUGCAUGUGGAUCAUGUCGCGAUCAAGACAAAGUUUUACCCGGUCUAUCGGUACUCUCAUACUCUGCUGUGGCUGAAAAAAAUGCCUGCUUCUGUGGUGGACUGGUGGUCCUUGAAAAAGACACCACCGGAGAAAUGAGACGUCAUUGAGGGUGGAGUGCGACGAACCACAUGUUAAUAUUUGACGAAGAAGAUCUCAAAAAAAAGAAGUUUGAUGCAGACCGUUCCAAUACACAAACUAAUCUGUGGUUGGAUUGUUAGGAGGAUAGUGGUAUUCAAUGCCCAUCAGAGUUCAGGUCCCAGACUUGACAUUCGUGCUCGUAUUUUCCGAGAUUUUAUUCCUGCUGUGUUCAUAG
This 2809-nucleotide ribosomal RNA is filed under the name Triticum aestivum (bread wheat). Its description in RNAcentral is "partial small subunit ribosomal RNA". Lineage: Eukaryota; Viridiplantae; Streptophyta; Magnoliopsida; Poales; Poaceae. The record is from RNAcentral.